GAUGAACGCUAGCGGGAGGCUUAACACAUGCAAGUCGAGGGGCAUUUCUGAUCCCGAGCAAUCGGGAUUUGAAACGACCGGCGCACGGGUGAGUAACGCGUAUGCAACCUGCCCCGUACUGGAGGAUAGCUCUCGGAAACGGGAAUUAAUACUCCAUGAUGAUAUACUGGGGCAUCCCGGUAUAUUUAAAACUCCGGUGGUACGGGAUGGGCAUGCGUAACAUUAGCUAGUUGGUAGGGUAACGGCCUACCAAGGCUACGAUGUUUAGGGGGCCUGAGAGGGUGAUCCCCCACACUGGUACUGAGACACGGGCCAGACUCCUACGGGAGGCAGCAGUGAGGAAUAUUGGUCAAUGGGCGCAAGCCUGAACCAGCCAUCCCGCGUGCAGGAAGAAGGCGCUAUGCGUUGUAAACUGCUUUUGCAGGGGACGAAAACUCCGACGUGUCGGGGCUUGACUGUACCCUGUGAAUAAGCAUCGGCUAACGUCCGUGCCAGCAGCCGCGGUAAAACG
This 511-nucleotide ribosomal RNA is filed under the name uncultured bacterium. RNAcentral's name for it is "bacterial SSU rRNA". It matches the Rfam family "Bacterial small subunit ribosomal RNA", at positions 28 to 527 of the family's 1533-position model. The record is from RNAcentral.